AUUGAACGCUGGCGGCAUGCCUUACACAUGCAAGUCGAACGGCAGCACGGGAGCAAUCCUGGUGGCGAGUGGCGAACGGGUGAGUAAUAUAUCGGAACGUGCCCAGUCGUGGGAGAUAACGCAGCGAAAGCUGUGCUAAUACCGCAUACGAUCUAAGGAUGAAAGCGGGGGAUCGCAAGACCUCGCGCGAUUGGAGCGGCCGAUAUCAGAUUAGCUAGUUGGUGGGGUAAAGGCCCACCAAGGCGACGAUCUGUAGCUGGUCUGAGCGGACGACCAGCCCAACUGGAACUGAGACACGGUCCAGACUCCUACGGGAGGCAGCAGUGGGGAAUUUUGGACAAUGGGCGCAAGCCUGAUCCAGCAAUGCCGCGUGCAGGAUGAAGGCCUUCGGGUUGUAAACUGCUUUUGUACGGAACGAAACGGCCCUUUCUAAUACAGGGGGCUAAUGACGGUACCGUAAGAAUAAGCACCGGCUAACUACGUGCCAGCAGCCGCGGUAA
Molecule: ribosomal RNA, 500 nt
Filed under: uncultured bacterium
Lineage: Bacteria
Description: partial 16S ribosomal RNA
Rfam family: Bacterial small subunit ribosomal RNA
Source: RNAcentral